RNAcentral lists this long non-coding RNA (1284 nucleotides) under Homo sapiens (human). RNAcentral's name for it is "HSALNT0378403". The record is from RNAcentral. Lineage: Eukaryota; Metazoa; Chordata; Mammalia; Primates; Hominidae.
CACGCAGAAGCUUUACUUUCGCUUUCACUUUACUUUUGCUUUCACUUUAACAAAUCUUGCAGCCGCACACUCUUUGGGUCCGCCCGUUUCUCUAAUCAAGUUGUAACACUCGCUGCUGUGGUCCACAGCUUCAUUCCUUGAAGCCCGUGAGACACGAACGCUUCCAUUGAGAAAAACCUUCCAUCAGAAGAAGACUUCUCGUCUCAGUGGGACUGCUGAGUUGAAUGGUGCUUUUUUUUCUGAAGCUUUGGUAGUGUAACUGUAAGAGUCCUGGAAUUGGAAAAGCAAAUCCAGAAGUUGAGUUCCAUGACUUUUUUGCUGUUUGCCUUUGGCUGAAUCCAAGAAGAGAAGCCCUUGAAGAGUGUAUUCUAUUCUAGACAAGCAUUCACACAUUGGCUUCUUUGGUGCCAGAUUAAAGAAUGAAGAAAGGAUCAAAUUGAGACAUCCAGGGGGGAAGAGUUCCCUGGCAAAACUCCAAUCUGCCUGAGCACUGAGGUGGAGCCACAGAAGUCCGGGUCAUUUGCACCUGGGAGGAGCCUGGCCCCUCCUCUUCCUGUGUGGAAUCUGGGAUUUAAUCUGUGAGGAGGGAAGGCCAAGGGCAGGAAGCACAGGCUCUCACUUCACUAAGAGUCUCUGUUUCCCCUUUUUUUCCUUUAUGCCUAAUUAAUAAAUCCCAUUUUUCUCACUCUUCAAAUAGUCUUCAAGCCUAAAUUUUCAUGACCAUGGAACAAGGACCCCAUCUUUAGCUGAACUAAGGAAAAGUCCUGCAACAAAAUUCUUUGCUAAAAAUACAUGAGGUUGCCUUUUCCUUCUUAAUCUUAAAAGAAAUAUAUUUCAAUGGUUAACGUUUUAGUAAUUCAAAAAUUAUCAAGCAUUUGUUCACAACCAUAAGAUGUGCAUUGUUUUAUAUUCCUACUUAAUAAUAGACUAUAAUUGUCUAAUUAGACUGCCGAUGUUGAUCUUUGUGGCUCAUUGCAUUGAUUAUAAGCAGUGUUUUGGGUUUGUGUGUGUGUGUCAAAUUUAGGGUUUUUUUGGUAUGGCUGCUGGUUGGUGUAGCCUGUAUCCAGUAUCCUGUAUUAAUUCUAAUAUUUGCAUUUUGAACAUAUUUACAAGUUGCUAAAAUAGCAAAGCUUCGAGAUGAGCCUGGCUGAUAUGGCAAAACCCCGUCUCUACUAAAAAUACAAAAAUUAGCCUGGUGUGGUGGUGCAUGCCUGUAAUCCCAGCUACUUGGAAGUCUGAGGCAGGAGAAUCUCUUGAACCCAGAAGGUGGAGGUUGCAGUGGGC